Molecule: long non-coding RNA, 6244 nt
Organism: Cannabis sativa
Lineage: Eukaryota; Viridiplantae; Streptophyta; Magnoliopsida; Rosales; Cannabaceae
Exons: 2
Source: RefSeq, a predicted model, not a curated record
UAUAAUCGUCUACAUUGUAGUUAUAAUUAGGAUUACUUAUAAAUUUUCAAAAUUAUAGUGUCAAAAAAUAAGUUCUAAAUAUUUUAUUGUAUGCGUCACUAUAGUUUUUUCUUAUAAACAUGAUAAGCAAUUGUUUUAACCGUAUUUUUGAUACUAUAAACUAUUCAAAAAAAUUUAACGGAAAUUUAAUUUUCUCUACUUACAUAUACCUAAUAUUUUUCCCCUAAACACAUGAUAACACUUAAUAUUUGUGGGAUAUGACAUAUUUUAGAAUAUCCCUAAAAUACCCCCAUUUAUAUUACCCCCUCCUUUCUCUUCUUCUCUUUACUACCGAGCUCCCCACUAAGAGGGCUAAUUUUUUUCACUCAUUCUCCACUCAUUUUCUUAACUUUAUUACACUAUAAUCUACUACACUAUAAGUUAUUCUACCUAUUUUCUUUAAAAUUUGGAGGGAGCAUCAUACACGGAGCACACAUAUGCAAGCAAAGGGUAAUUUUUUUUUGUUUGUGUAAUCUUGUUUGUUGUUGUUAUAUUUAGUUUAGAAUAUUGUUUUGAUGCUUGAUCUGUGAAUUGUCUAUUAUUUUGCUAUUUUUUGUGUUAAAAUGUUUGUUGCUUGUGAAUACUGCAAUUUUCCUGGUUUCAGCAUUUUUUUUCGUCUAGCGCGAUGUGGUCCAAUGCUGGUCCGAUGGGGGGCCCGAUGCCUUGUUAAAAUAGCUAAUAGGGGUGAAGGCCCGAUGGGAUCUGAUAGGGCCCGAUAGGGGUCCGAUGGUACCCCAUAAAUUUUGUUUUUUUUUGGUUUAUUUAGGUCGAGUCUGAUGGGUGUCUGACGGGUCUGAUGGGGGUCCGAUUGUAGUGUCUGAAAUAUAGUUUUGGGGAUUUUUUUAGGCCCGAUUGGAUUGAAGUUCGAUAUGUGUCUGAUGGGUCUGAUUGGGGUGUCCGAUUAUAGUCUGAAAUAUAUUUUGGGGAUUUUUUUUAGGCCCGAUUGGAUGGGUGUCUGAUUGUGGUCCGAUUGGGGUCCAAUGGGGCCCAAAAAAUUGGUUUUUUUUUUUUUUUUUAAUUUUGGGAUUGGGCCCGAUUUUAUUUUUAUAUGUAUUGCAUUGAAAGAUUAUUUUCGGUGAGAUUUUUGUUCUAAAUUGUAAUUGUAUUUUUUUAAAUGUAUGUGACAAGCGUGUGUUAUGUAUAAUGGUGUUUGGGAGCUUGAUGGUAGAGAUUGGGUUUAUAAACCGGGCAAAAAUUUGACAUUUAACAUUGAUCUGAACGUAAGCUACUCAAGUUUGGUUGAUCUUUUGUCUGAAGAACUGGAUGUUAACAAAGUGGAGUAUGACUUAAAAUUGGAAGUAAAUUACAAGUACAUGAAAGGCUAUGAGUAUCGCCCUAAAGUUAUUAGAAAUGAUAAGCGUGCAAGGUACUUUUUAUCUACACUUGCAAAGAAGCCAGAUGAAUUUACUCCCUUGUUUGUGACUUUGUUAAAGAAGAAUGUUUGCGUCGAUCCUAGUCCCACACCAAGUUUUAUUAAGGACAAUCGUAGCGAGGUUGGGAGUUUUGUUCUAGAAACUAAUCCAGAGGUGUUGGUUGUCGAUGUAUUACCUGAAUUAAACACUAUGAUGCCGAGUGCUGAUAUUGUAGCACAAAUGCCCUUCAUUGAUGGUUUUUUUGAUGGUCCAAACCCUGAAUGUUAUGUUGAGGGCAAUGAUGACGUAAGAGACGACCAAGGUACAGAGGUCCCUACUGCUGUAGCUUUGAACUUGGCUCCAGUAUCAUACCAAAUACCACCGAGGCCACCGACACGGAAAGAAUGCCCCGUAGAGAAAAUCCCCAAACACCUGGUACUAGUAGUAGUCGUCAAGGUGAAACCAGUAAUGCUAGACGAACCACUGACAGUACAUGUCCUAAUAAUGUUAAUAAAGAGACCAAUGAUAUUAGUGGUCCUACUGAUGCUCGAGGGACCAAUGUGACGGGAUUUAGCGAUCCAUUUUCUUCUUUGAUAAGUUACGGUAAAUUCAAAGAGAAAAUGUAUACAAGAGAAGACAUCGAGGAUCAUAGUCAUUAUAUAUCUAUGGGUGGCACAGUAGGCGGGGAGUUACAUGUAGGAAAGUUUUUUAGAGACAAAGAGCAUUUAAAGAUGGUUGUUGGCUUGUAUGCAAUGAAGAAAGGGUUUGACUACUCCGUUAGGAAGUCCAGUACUGAUAUUUGGUACGUCACAUGUAAGGAUGCAGAUUGUGUGUGGAGAUUAAUAACGAAGAAGAACGUACUUUCUAACAUGUUUGAGGUGAGUACAUUUCAUAAUGUACAUACAUGUUCUCUUGAUCUUUGAGGAAAAGAUAACCGUCAAGCAUCACCUUUGAUAGUUGCCCAUCUAAUUAAGGAUAAUUGCAACUGACGGCUCGGAUCAUUUAGCCUCUGAUAUAAGGAAAAGUAUGCACAAGGAUUACGGAUCCAAUUGAGUUAUGAAAAGGUAUGGAGGUGCAGAGAGAAGGCACUACACCUAGCUCGGGGUACACCUGAAGAUUCAUACUCAAAAUCACCUAGUUACUUGCACAUGCUACAGUUGAGAAAUCCAGGUACCAUCACAGAUUUUAUGGUAGAAGAUGGUCGCUUCAAGUAUUGUUUCUUCUCUCUGGGUCCUUGUAUUCGGGGGUUUAGGUUUUGUCGACCUGUUGUAUGCGUUGAUGGGUCCUUCUUGAAGACUAGGUAUGGUGGGCAAAUGUUGUGUGCAGUGGAACUGGAUGCAGGGAUCCAUAUCUUUCCGAUAGCUUUUGCUAUAGUUGACAGUGAAAACCAAAAUUCUUGGACCUAUUUUAUGAGAAAAUUAAAAGAAACGAUUGGUGAUGUUGAGAACUUAACCUUUGUUUCGGAUAGGCAUUAAAGCAUUGUUUGUGCUUUGGAGAUCGUGUUCCCUUAUGCACACCACGGUGCAUGCUACCACCGCAUUAUUAUGAACGUCAACCACCACGGUGCAUGCUACCACCACAUUAUUAUGAACGUCAACCACAAGUUCAAGACUGACGUUUUCACAAAUCACAUUUACACGUGUGCCUACACGUAUUCAAAAUCAGAGUUUCCAAAAAAAAAAUUCAGCACAUGCAUCGGACCCCAAUCGGGGUCCCCAUCGGAGCCUAUCGGGCCAUCGUCUUCCCCAAAUCGCAUAUCUGAACCUAAAUCGAACCCUAAAUCUAACAAAACUCAUGGUGCACACAUAAACACAUACAUUAUACAUUAUAACCCUAAAAUCAAUACCUAUCAAUACUCCAAAUCAUAUAUCACACAAAAAAAUGACAAAAAAAAGGGGGGCCGAAGCUUACCUUGGACAUUUCGGUUUUGAUGGGGCCGGCGGUGUAGGCGGUAGGCAGUGAGAAGUGCUCAGUUUUGAUUUGGGAGGGGGCCAGCGUUGUAGGUGGUGGUGAGGGGCCGGCGUUGUGGGCAGUGGUGAGGGGGGUUUUGGGUCGUGUGUGGUUCGGUUGAGAGAGAGAGAGAGAGAGAGAGAGAGAGAGAGAGAGAGAGAGAGAGAGAGAGAGAGAGAGAGAGAGAGAGAGAGAGAGAGAGAGAGAGAGAGAGAGAGAGAGAGAGAGAGAGAGAGAGAGAGAGAGAGAGAGAGAGAGUUGGGGUUGAGUUAUGAGAGGGGUAUUUUUAGAUUUUAGAUAAAGUGGGCAUAUGUUUUCAAUUUUGAUAUGUAUUAGUUUAGGGAUAAAAUAUUAGGGUAUUUUAUGCAUAUUUUUUCAAAUAAAAAAAUAACUACUAAUUCUAAAAUAAAAAAAUAGAACCCUCUAAAUGUCGAAAGUACUAAUUAACAAUUUUAAUAAAUAUAGUACAACUUGGGUUCGUCUUUUUUAUAAUUUAAGCAACUUAUAUUAUAAAUGUGCAAGUAUUAAAUAUAACUAUUUUUAGCUGGUUCAGUAAACUGUAUAAGUGUUGUAUUAUAUUAAAUAAUAAGGAACAACACUGUAUUUGGAUAAAACUUUAUAUUAUAUUAAUUAUUACGACCAUAACUUUUCACAAUGUGAAUCGUAUUAUUUAAUACAUAAAAAACGAUACAUAUUAGCAUGUAUUAUAAUAUUUAGAAAGAGUUAAAGGUUGGAGACCCAGACUCCAGCUCCAGACCCAACCCCAAAUUUAGACCUUGGACCCGAACAUUGUACCCAGACCCGACCCCGGUCUUGGACUCCCUGAACCUUGGCCCCAGGCCCCAGUCCUCGGACCCCUGGUCGAAGGUCAGGGUUUUGGAAUGGGGUCUGGGUCUGGGUCUGGGCCAGGAUUUGUGGCUCAGGGCUGGAGAUGGGAUCCUUAUCCACUAACGGGGUCGAGGUUGAAGUCGAGUUUAUGGUAAAGAUAGUAUAAUUUUACACAAUAUAUUAAUAAAAGUCAAUAUCAAACAUAAUAUUGCAUUAAAUAAUAAUAAUACAAUAUAAUAUAAUUCAAUGCAAUACAAUAUUAUAAAAUUCAAUACAAUACAAUACGAUGUAUCACACAAGUCUUAAAGUAUAAAUGUGUAAUACUAUCUUAAUUUAAAUAUAAUUAGUUUUUUUAUUUAAAUCAAAUGCAUAUAUGAGAUUUUUUUUUUAAAUGCUUAAAAUCUAUGGCAAUCAUUUUUCCUUGAUAAGUUUCUUAAGGCAUUUUUUAUGGGAGUUUUUCUUCCUAUAUAUUUAUAAUACUUUAUUUGUGAUACAAUCUUUUAUUAAAUAGACUUUAGUAUUAGAUGUGAUAUUUUUGUGAAAGUAAUUUUAUUAUUUUUCUAUACAAUUAUUUGGAUUUUUAUAAAAUGAUAUAUAUAUAUAUUAAAAAUAAUAAUAUAGAAACUUAAUUAUAUGUGUAUUCAAGUAGUAUUAUUUUUCUUAACAAACUUUUAUUUUCAUUUUUUUUCCAUCCAUUUUCUUCUAUUAUUGUAUGUGUAGUUGGUUUCAUUUGAUCACGAUCUAGUGUAACUAGUUACCAUUAUAAAAAAAUAUUGGCACUUUUCAAUUACCAUUGUAAUCUAGUGGUAAGUAAUUGAUUACUGUUAUAAAUUUAGUUUAUAUAUUUAAUACUACGAUGGUGGUCGGUUACUAGCUAUCACAUUAAUAUUUAUGUUUUUAAGUAAUAUGGGGUUAAUUAUUUAUCGCUCUCAAAGCGACAAACCUAACACAAAAAAAAAAAAAUGGUAUAACUUAAACUGAUCGUAACUAGUUACUUAAGUUAAUCACGAUGGUAUACCUAAAUUUGAAUUAAAAAAAAAAUAAUCUUGAUCAUAACUAGUUACUUAACCUUAUUUGAAAAGAAAAAGACAAAAGUAGCUCUGUUGAGAAACAUGGAGUUCUAUCACAAAAUUAAUUGCUCAUGAGUGAAGUAGUCCAUAUUCUUUUAUAUAUAUAUAUAUCGCUCAAUAUUUUUAUAUUUAAUCCAUGUGGGACAAUGUUCUCUAAUAUCUCCCCUUAAAAUGGUAGUUGUUUUUGCUCAUCAAUCUUGAAUCACCUUGUUAUCCACAACAACAAAAGAGAUUUUUUAUCCCAGUUUUUACACUUGAAAAUAUAAAAAGUGCUAUAAAAACUUUUGAUCCUACUUUUACAUUUGAAACCUUAAAAAAAGUUUGGAACAAGGGUCUAGUUUGAAAAACAGACAAAAAACAGUGUUAGAAAUGCUAUUUUUAUGCAUUUGCCAAACGCAACUUACGUUUUAAAUGAGACUUUUUAUCCUGAUUUUCUACAUAAGAACCGGGAUAAAAGGUCCUCAUAAAUCUGGGUCUUUUAAUUGUUGGGCCAGCUACACAUAUAAAAUGAACAAUUAGCAUUUAGGGUUUCAUUUAUUAGGGUUACUCUCAUUCCCUCCCACCCGCCCCUCUCUUUCCUAUCUCUCUCUAAGCAGCUGCCUGCCCACAUGGAGAUCAAACAGGCUCCAUGGUGUCUCUCAGCCGCAGUCCUUCCCCCUUCCCCUGCUCUUUUAUUUUCGUACAUCACCCCAAGCCAGCGACCUUUUUCCAGCGAAGGAAGAGUCAACAGAGUUCAGAUCCGAGCUCCACACCCUUUGAAAAUUUCAGGUGUGAAGGUAUGUGGUCGACGGUGCUUCUAAUUCGUGGUUUUUCAUGGGAACGAAGCUUCGUGGUCACUGUUUGUGGUCAUUGACGAUGACUCACGGUUGUCGAAGGUGGUUCGUGACUUUUGUUGUACUGAUUAUUUGGGGUUUAAAUUUGUUUCUGUACGUAUUGUAUAUUUUACAAAAAGGUAUAUAUUGUAAAGGAAAUUUUUUAUCUCUGUAGUGGUUUGUUGCUUUGUUA